GUCACGAGUUCCGGUGGAAAGCCCUGGCUGGCCGGACAGCAACCCUCUUUCACUGUGGGGUGCUCCAGGUGAUGACAAGGCUCCUGCGCACGCAGGAGCAAGUGUGA
This 107-nucleotide non-coding RNA is filed under the name Nesterenkonia massiliensis. RNAcentral's name for it is "S-adenosyl methionine (SAM) riboswitch". It matches the Rfam family "SAM (S-adenosyl methionine) riboswitch aptamer". From Rfam's summary of the family: SAM-IV is a mRNA element that regulates gene expression via direct sensing of S-adenosylmethionine (SAM or AdoMet). The record is from RNAcentral. Lineage: Bacteria; Bacillati; Actinomycetota; Actinomycetes; Micrococcales; Micrococcaceae.